Molecule: ribosomal RNA, 254 nt
Filed under: uncultured bacterium
Lineage: Bacteria
Description: partial 16S ribosomal RNA
Rfam family: Bacterial small subunit ribosomal RNA
Source: RNAcentral
CACGUAGGGGGCAAGCGUUGUCCGGAUUUAUUGGGCGUAAAGAGCUUGUAGGUGGUUCAGUAAGUCAGGUGUGAAACCUCCAGGCUCAACCUGGAGACGCCACUUGAUACUGCUGUGACUGGAGUCCGGUAGGGGAGCGUGGAAUUCCUGGUGUAGCGGUGAAAUGCGCAGAUAUCAGGAGGAACACCAGCGGCGAAGGCGGCGCUCUGGGCCGGUACUGACACUGAGGAGCGAAAGCGUGGGUAGCAAACAGG